GCCGGGGUAGCUCAGUUGGUAGAGCGCUCGACUUGUAAUCGAGAGGUUUCGCGAGUUCGAUCCUCGCCCCCGGCU
This 75-nucleotide transfer RNA is filed under the name Rectinemataceae bacterium. RNAcentral's name for it is "tRNA-Thr". It matches the Rfam family "tRNA". From Rfam's summary of the family: Transfer RNA (tRNA) molecules are approximately 80 nucleotides in length. Lineage: Bacteria; Pseudomonadati; Spirochaetota; Spirochaetia; Treponematales; Rectinemataceae. The record is from RNAcentral.